This 267-nucleotide ribosomal RNA is filed under the name uncultured Cortinarius. RNAcentral's name for it is "partial 28S ribosomal RNA". It matches the Rfam family "Eukaryotic large subunit ribosomal RNA", at positions 1 to 258 of the family's 3401-position model. Lineage: Eukaryota; Fungi; Basidiomycota; Agaricomycetes; Agaricales; Cortinariaceae. The record is from RNAcentral.
GUGACCUCAAAUCAGGUAGGACUACCCGCUGAACUUAAGCAUAUCAAUAAGCGGAGGAAAAGAAACUAACAAGGAUUCCCCUAGUAACUGCGAGUGAAGCGGGAAAAGCUCAAAUUUAAAAUCUGGCGGUCUUUUGGCUGUCCGAGUUGUAAUCUAGAGAAGUGUUAUCCGCGCUGGACCGUGUACAAGUCUCCUGGAAUGGAGCAUCAUAGAGGGUGAGAAUCCCGUCUUUGACAUGGACUGCCAGGGCUUUUGUGAUGCGCUCUC